Long non-coding RNA from Cuculus canorus (common cuckoo), 3407 nucleotides. RefSeq lists it as uncharacterized. The transcript has 5 exons. Lineage: Eukaryota; Metazoa; Chordata; Aves; Cuculiformes; Cuculidae. The record is from RefSeq and is a predicted model, not a curated record.
GAGCCAGUGGGAGGUGUCCUUGUCCAUGGCAGGGGGUGGAACUGGAUGAUCUUCAAGGUCCCUUCCAACCCAAACUAUUCCAUGAUUCUAUGACCUUCAGAAAGGGAAAGCUUUAUCACUAGAAUUUGUCCCAGGCUGUUAGAGAAAGCAAACUGCUGUAGGACAAGAGGAAGGGUUCAAAGAUGGUUAAAUAACCAAUUGAAAGAUAGGAAGUGAAAAUAAAUCAUCACGUUCCAGUUUGGGGUGGAACUAGAUGAUCUUUAAGGUCCUUUCCAACUCUAACUCUUCUAUGAUUCUAUGGCAAGACGAAAUUACGAAUGAGGUCUUGCAGGGAUUUGUGCAUAGACCUGUGCUUUUCAGUGUGUUCAUGACACAUAGGAGUGCAGCAAAGUUUGCAGAGGCUGCUCAGAUUAGUAAGGAUGAGUGCCUGAAGAAUUAUAGCAGGGCUGUGCAUCACGGAUUGGAUGGAUGAUGAAAUGGAAGAUGAAAUUCAGUGGAGGUAACGUGUAGUAACAGACAGGGGAGAAGGAUGUAACUGCUAAGGAUCACCAGUGUGUGGCUGUUACUGCUUGGAAAUAAAAUCUUAGAGGUUUAAUAGAUCCUAAAAAUCAUCAGUUUUAUAAAGGUUAAAAUUUUAAAUAAUGCUCAGAAUUACUGUAAAGCAAAUAGAGAAGAAAAUAAAAUGAUGUUAACCAGAACCUCUGCUUUAUUCCGUCUUAAAGCCAAUGUAGUCAAACUGGGAAAGAUUUUGGAGGAGGGUGAUGGGAAUGAUGAAUAGCACGCAACACCUGUAUGUGGGGAACUAAACAGCCUGAAAGGCAGGUGGUUGAGAAGAGAUGAUGAAAGUCCAUAAAAUCACAAGUGGCAAAGGGAGAGGAUGAAGGGAGUGAUUGUUCACUGCCUUUCCCGAUGGCAGAAUGAGAGGUUAUUAAAUGGAAUCUGUGGGUGGUGGCUCAAAGCAUACAAAAUGAGGUGGUCUCCACAGGCGUACGGGUGAGCUGUGACACUCCUCUUGAACAACCUCUUCCCCCUGGAAAAUAAAACAGCCCACACCCACAGAAACAACAAAAAAAAAUCUCAUUAAUGUUAAAGUUUACGUGACUUGAAAGUACCUGAACUGGUACUUGAAAGAUUAAUCCGUUAAAGGCUGCUAAAUAUAAAGGCAGCAUCUCUGGCUUAGAAGAUCCUUUUGAACCAUGAAUUGCUGGACACUACAAAGAGUACUGGCAGAGAAUCGCUCGGUGCUUGUCUGGGCUUUACUUACCUCCCUGGACGUGUGCUAUUUGCCAGGUAUAGAAGUUAAAAAUAAUAAUGUAUUCUCUAAAGCUUUGUCUCCAGUGCUGAGACAGCGCGUUUGUUUCUCUCUCACAACUGUUUCCUUUGGUUGUAGGUUGUGGUUUAGGGGAUUUCAGAAAGCAUUCAUGUCUCAGAUGAGUUUCUUACAGAAUCUCAGUUUUAUUACUGGAAACAACACACCUUGUUGGCAGUAAGACUGGAGCGAGACGAUUCCUGUACAGAGAGGAGUCCAGUGCUGCUGCAGGAAUUCCAAUCCUUGUCUCAGUCACAGCGCUGGGUUGUUUCAAUGUCUCACAGAGAAUGUUCCUUCCAGAGUCACGUACUAAUGCUGUUGAAAUUCCCAAAUCUUACAGCCUGGUAACCCCUGCAGUGUUUGAGACUGAAAUUCUGAAGCUUUUUUGAGAUGAUCUUCAACCAUAUCAUCUGACUGUCAUCUGGAGUGGUGAGACACCAUGAGGUAGAAAUGCCUUCAACGGAGCUGAAGCAAUGAAGAGUAGGCAAUAUGAAGAAAGCGCUUAAAACAUUUUUGUGGAGCCUGUGGUAUGAAUGCCAUUCUGAGGCUGCAGAAAGCCUAUAAUUUCCGGAAGAGCAAGUGAAGGGACUAGAAGAAAAGUGCAAAUCGGAUUUUCAAGAAGUCUGGUCUUCCCAUAAAGGUUGCUGCUGGGUGUGAAGCCACGGAUGAUGCUCUCCAGAACAAUUUGCACAUUGCUCCUGCUCAUUCCAUCUGCAGCUCUGGUCAGUGAAGCAAGGAGAAAAUGGCAUUCAGAUUUGGAGAAAAAGAAAAAGUAGAAGAAAAAGUAAAAGGAAGACUGACAAAUACAGAGUGAAAAGUGAAUUGAGAAAAACAAGAUCAGGGAAGGAUCAGUUUGGAAAACAGAAAUAGGAAAGACGGAAGAAAUUGGCAGAGGGUGCAGUUUUGGAUUGGGAGCUUCACCUCAAGGAUUCCUGUAACAGGAAAGACUUUGUGGAACCUGGAAUAAGAGCAAUUUAAUUUUGCUGCCAGGCCUGUAUGACAGCCUUAUGAGCUGGAUUAACACCCUUCACAACUGGACAUGAUACUUGCAAUUUGGAAGGAGUGGAGUGGAUGGCGCCCAGCACCCCAUCUUUGAUUGUGUGACGCUGAGUCCUCAAAGUCUCAAUUAUCUGCUAGAAGGGUAAUGUAGACACAGUGAUGACCUUGUUGCUGGUCAGCUUUGAUUUCAGUGAGUAUUGGCUUUUGUGGUAAGUUUUGAUAGGAGAUCAGCUUCAGGGGUGGCUUCUGUGAGAAGCUGCUAGAGGCUUCCUCUGUGUCCAAUAGAGACAAUGUCAGCCGGCUCCAAGAUGGACCUGUCACUGGCUGAGACUGAGCCGGUCAUCACGGGUGGCUGCACUUCUGGAAUAAUAUAGUUAAGAAGGGAGGAAAGAAAAACCUGUUGUGGAAACAGCAAUUGCAGCCAAGGAGAGGAGUGAGAAUAUGUGAGAAACGCAACUUUGCAGACACCAUCAAGGAAGAAGGAGGAGGAGGUGCUUCAGACACCAGAGCAGAGAUUCCUCUGCAGACCAUGGUGAAGACCAUGGUGAGGCAGGCUGUCCCCUUGCAGUCCAUGGAGGCCCUCAGUGGAGGAGAUAGCAACCUGCAGCCUGUGGGAGGACCUCAUGCUGGAGCAGGUGGAUGCACCUGAAGGAGGCUGUGACCCUGUGGGAAGCUGUGCUGGAGAAGGUUCCUGACAGGACCUGUGGAUUUGUGGAGAGAAGAGCCCAUACUGGAGCAGGUUUCCUGGCCGGACUUGUGACCCUGUGGAAGGAACGUGUGCUGGAGCAGUUCUUGAAGAACUGUAGUCCAUGGGAAGGACCCACGCUGAAGAAAUUUGUGGAUGGACCCAACACUGGAACAGGGGAAGCGUGUGAGGAGUCCUCCACCUGAAGAGAUAGAAGUGGUGGAAAUAACACAUGAUGAACUGACCACAACCCCCAUUCCUUGUCCCCCUGUUCUGCUGCUGGGGAGAAAUUAGAGAAUUCAGAACUAAAGUUGAGCCUAGAAAGAAGGGAGGGAUGAGGGGAAGAUGUUUUUAAGAUUUGGUUUUAUUUCUCAUUAUCCUGCUCUGAUUUGAUUGGUAAUAAAUUAAACCAAG